UGCGCAGGCGGGCUUGUAAGUCAGUGGUGAAAUACUGCCGCUCAACGGUAGAACUGCCAUUGAUACUGCAAGUCUUGAAUAUGGUUGAGGUAGGCGGAAUGUGUCGUGUAGCGGUGAAAUGCAUAGAUAUGACACAGAACGCCAAUUGCGAAGGCAGCUUACUAAGCCAUUAUUGACGCUGAGGCACGAAAGCGUGGGGCGCGAACAGGAUUAGAUACCCUGGUAGUCC
RNAcentral lists this ribosomal RNA (229 nucleotides) under uncultured bacterium. Its description in RNAcentral is "partial 16S ribosomal RNA". It matches the Rfam family "Bacterial small subunit ribosomal RNA", at positions 568 to 796 of the family's 1533-position model. The record is from RNAcentral.